AAUCCGUGCUGUGGUCACCUCUGCAAAAGAUCCUUGAAGUGCUCCCAUAUCUCAAACAAUAACUCCAAUUCCAUCUAUACAAAUGACGAAAUCUCAUUGCCAAGCUU
This is a small nucleolar RNA of Dioscorea cayenensis subsp. rotundata (Guinea yam), 107 nucleotides long. NCBI's taxonomy places the organism in Eukaryota, Viridiplantae, Streptophyta, Magnoliopsida, Dioscoreales, Dioscoreaceae. The record is from RefSeq and is a predicted model, not a curated record.